RNAcentral lists this ribosomal RNA (687 nucleotides) under Pseudoalteromonas sp. RNAcentral's name for it is "bacterial SSU rRNA". It matches the Rfam family "Bacterial small subunit ribosomal RNA", at positions 71 to 751 of the family's 1533-position model. Lineage: Bacteria; Pseudomonadati; Pseudomonadota; Gammaproteobacteria; Alteromonadales; Pseudoalteromonadaceae. The record is from RNAcentral.
AAGAGGAGCUUGCUCCUUUGGCGUCGAGCGGCGGACGGGUGAGUAAUGCUUGGGAAUGUGCCUUAUGGUGGGGGACAACAGUUGGAAACGACUGCUAAUACCGCAUAAUGUCUUCGGACCAAAGUGGGGGACCUUCGGGCCUCACGCCAUAAGAUCAGCCCAAGUGGGAUUAGCUAGUUGGUAAGGUAAUGGCUUACCACGGCGACGAUCCCUAGCUGGUUUGAGAGGAUGAUCAGCCACACUGGGACUGAGACACGGCCCACACUCAUACGGGAGGCAGCAGUGGGGAAUAUUGCACAAUGGGCGCAAGCCUGAUGCAGCCAUGCCGCGUGUGUGAAGAAGGCCUUCGGGUUGUAAAGCACUUUCAGUAAGGAGGAAAGGUUAAGUGUUAAUAGCACUUAGCUGUGACGUUACUUACAGAAGAAGCACCGGCUAACUCCGUGCCAGCAGCCGCGGUAAUACGGAGGGUGCGAGCGUUAAUCGGAAUUACUGGGCGUAAAGCGUACGCGGGCGGUUUGUUAAGCGAGAUGUGAAAGCCCCGGGCUCAACCUGGGAACUGCAUUUCGAACUGGCAAACUAGAGUGUGAUAGAGGGUGGUAGAAUUUCAGGUGUAGCGGUGAAAUGCGUAGAGAUCUGAAGAAAUACCGAUGGCGAAGGCCGCCACCUGGGUCAACACUGACGCUCAUG